Small nuclear RNA from Ochotona curzoniae (black-lipped pika), 107 nucleotides. The record is from RefSeq and is a predicted model, not a curated record. NCBI's taxonomy places the organism in Eukaryota, Metazoa, Chordata, Mammalia, Lagomorpha, Ochotonidae.
GUGCUCGCUUCAGCAGCACAUAUAAUAAAAUUGGAACGAUACAACAAAGAUUAGCAUGGCCCCUGAGCAAGGAUGACACACAAAUUUGUGAAGCGUUCUAUAUAUUU